Molecule: non-coding RNA, 68 nt
Organism: Podarcis lilfordi (Lilford's wall lizard)
Lineage: Eukaryota; Metazoa; Chordata; Lepidosauria; Squamata; Lacertidae
Source: the annotation of a GenBank genome assembly
GAUAGCUCAAUUGGUAAAGCAUGAGACUCUUAAUCUCAGAGUUGUGGGUUCAGGCCCCAUGCUGGGCA